AACGUAGGAGGCGAGCGUUAUCCGGAUUCACUGGGCGUAAAGCGCAUGUAGGUGGCUCGGCAAGUCCGGUGUGAAAGCCUCUGGCUCAACUGGGGGAGGACACCGGAAACUGCGGGGCUGGAGGAUCAGAGAGGAAGGUGGAAUUCCCGGUGUAGCGGUGGAAUGCGUAGAGAUCGGGAGGAACACCAGUGGCGAAGGCGGCCUUCUGGCUGAUUCCUGACACUGAGAUGCGAAAGCGUGGGUAG
This 245-nucleotide ribosomal RNA is filed under the name uncultured bacterium. RNAcentral describes it as "partial 16S ribosomal RNA". It matches the Rfam family "Bacterial small subunit ribosomal RNA", at positions 524 to 768 of the family's 1533-position model. The record is from RNAcentral.